UACGGGGGGAGCAAGCGUUGUUCGGAUUUACUGGGCGUAAAGGGCGCGUAGGCGGCCAGCACAAGUCAGUUGUGAAAUCUCCGAGCUUAACUCGGAACGGUCAACUGAUACUGUGCGGCUAGAGUGCGGAAGGGGCAACUGGAAUUCUUGGUGUAGCGGUGAAAUGCGUAGAUAUCAAGUGGAACACCAGUGGCGAAGGCGAGUCCCUGGACGACUCCUGACACUGAGGCACGAAAGCUAGGGGAGCAAACAGG
Molecule: ribosomal RNA, 254 nt
Filed under: uncultured bacterium
Lineage: Bacteria
Description: partial 16S ribosomal RNA
Rfam family: Bacterial small subunit ribosomal RNA
Source: RNAcentral